AGAAUUCUGAAGAUGUCAGUUCUGGAAUGUGGAAUGGAUAUGCUAAUCUAGGACCUCCUAACGCGGUGUGUAGACAUUGUUCAGCUAUCAUGUGGAAUGUGGAGCGUAAUAAUAAAUCUUAUAAAAACGCAGCUCCUGUUUUUUCACUUUGUUGUAAGAGUGGACAGGUUGUCCUUCCGCUUGAGCAGCCUCCACCCGAGCCACUGUCUUCUCCUUUAUCUGGUGGUCCGAAGUCCAAGCAUUUUCGUCAGAACAUCCAUGUAUAUAAUUGCAUGUUUGCGAUGUGUUCAAGCGGGGGUAAGGUAGACCACAAUAUAAACAGAGGCGGAGCACCUUUUUGUUUUAAAAUCAGGGGUCAGAAUAUGCACUUCAUUGGCAGCCUAUUACCCCCCGAUGGCGCCCCUCCAAAGUUCUGCCAGCUAUACAUAUAUGACACUGAAAACGAGGUGACCAACAGAAUCAAUGCAGUGGGGUCACCAGAUGAUAUUGAUCCAGAAAUUGUUGCUGCUCUUACAAGAAUGUUAGAUGAAAACAACAAAUUAGUAGCUUAUUUUCGCAGAGCACAACAGAGAUUCAAUAACAGUGAUCAGCCGGAGUUCAAGUUAAUUCUAAUAUCUUCUCAGACUGAGAAUGGUCGUCCAAAUAUCAUUGGACAUUCUAAUGAAGUUGCAGGAUUGAUAGUUAGUGCUGACGCAGAUACAUCUGGCUGUAGGGAUGUUGUCGUUGAAACAAGGCUACCUUAAACGAGUUUUUGAAACAGAUGCAUAUUUCAUGCAGCUACAAUUUCCUCUUCUAUUCCCCUUAGGUGAUGAUGGUUACCACACUGAGAUUCCUCUUAGAAACAACAAUAGGAGCAGGCCUCCCCCAAUGGAUCAUGAUGACAUUGAUAAUACAAGGAUAACCAGGGAGCGCGUUACAAUGAAGGAAUAUUAUUCAUCUAAGUUGAUGAUCCGACAUAACGAAGCUUUGACUCCACAUUUGGCCGGAAGGUUGUGGCAACAAUAUGUCAUAGAUGCAUUCACUGCUAUGGAACAGUAUAGGCUGGAUUGGAUUUCUAGCAACCACACUACUAUCAGAUCAGAUUUAUACACUUAUGUACGUGAUGCGGUUCGCAAAGGUGAUAAUGAUCCUUCGCACGUUGGCAAGUGUGUCAUCCUCCCUGCUUCGUUUACUGGCUGUAAGUGAUACAUGUCACAGUAUUUUAAAGAUUCCCUUGCACUUUGCCGGAGUAUCGGACACCCUUCGCUCUUUCUCACAAUGACGACAAAUACAAAGUGGCCUGAGAUUCAGGAGAUGAUGAAAAACCUGCCUGGUGUUGAUGUUGCGGAUACUCCUGAUGUUGUAGCACAUGUUUUCAAACUCAAACUUGACCAACUAAUGGACCUCAUUAAGAAGAAGCAUUUUUUUGGGAGGUGCAUUGGGAGUUAAGUACACCAGUUUAGCAAUUUUUCCAUAUCACUUUUUUACAUAGAUUGUAUACAUGUUCAAUUAUAAAGGCGGACAUAUGGUUCUUAUGUUUUUUUAAUAGUGGUGCAUGUCAUUGAAUUCCAGAAACGUGGGGUGCCACAUGCUCAUAUGCUGAUAUGGCUUCAUGACAAAGAUAGACCAAAGACUCAUGAGCAGAUAGAUCAAAUAUUAAGCGCAUAAAUCCAUGAUGAGAGCGAGGAUAGUAUUGGUUACUAUGCUGUGAGGAAUUACAUGAUUCAUGGUCCGUGUGGGAAAGACAAUACAUACUCAGCAUGCAUGGUUAAAGAUAAAUGUGGACGACAUUUUCCAAAGAAGUACAAUGGUCUGACAUGUUUUGAUGAUUCUGGAUUUCCCGUGUAUCAUCGUCGAAACACUGGAAGGACGGUUGAGAGAAAGAGGGUACUCCUUGAUAAUAGAUAUGUUGUGCCUUACAACAGGGAGUUGCUAAUUCAUUUUCAGUGCCACAUAAAUUUAGAGAUAUGUAACAAUUCAAGGUCUUUGGAGUACCUGUUCAAGUAUUGUUUAAAAGGCCAUGACAAUGCCACAAUGCUACUUAAAAAAACGACAAUUCAAUGGUACAUCAAACAAAUAAUGCCAAGGCAAAGAUAUUUGAUGAGGUCAAGCACUACCUCGAUGGAAGGAAUGUAUGUGCCUCUGAAGCUACAUGGAGAAUACUAGGUUUUGACGUUCAUUCUCGAUGGCCUUCAGUUGAUGGAUUACCUAUUCACUUACCAGAUAGCGAGCAUGUUAAUUUUAAGACGGGGGAGUCUCUGCGAUCUGUAUGUCAACGUGCUGGUUCUAAGAAAAGCAAGCUUGAGGCUUGGUUUAUCGCUAAUGAAAGGCUGCAUGAUGCUAGACAAUACACGUAUGCUGAAUUUCCAACACAUUUUACAUGGAUUGCAAAAGACUGUCGGUGGAAAGUAAGGGAACGGGGUGAGGUUGUUGGUAGAUUAUCCGCGGUCCAUGCUACUGCCGGCGAUCUUCUUUACCUGCGUAUGUUGUUGCUUCAAAAAAAGGCUGCAGAAAUUUUGCAGAUAUAAGAACUGUAGACGGAGUUGUGUAUGACAAUUUUAAAAAUGCAUGCGGUGCUCUUGGUCUUUUAUAGAACGACAAUCAAUGGCAUGAUGCUUUAACUGAAAAUGCUCAAACAUCAUUUCCCCAUCAGAUUCGAGAGAUGUUUGUAAACAUUUUGUCAUACAGUUCUGUUUCUGAUCCUCUUGAGCUUUGGAAUCGGCAUUGGAGAUGUAUGUCUGAUGACAUAUUACACAGGAGACGGCUUGCUAGCGGCAACACUGAUCUCCUACUGUCUGAGCAUGAUCUUCAGAAUUUUACCCUUGCAGGUUAGUUAGUGUUUACACAGUCUCAUUUUUAGUACAGUAUGCCCUUCAUUAUAAUUCACAUACAUGUCUUUACCUGUUCAUGGUGAUGUAUAUUGCCAAGCUGCCACUGCAGUGUCCAUGAUUAUCAUGUAUAUUUUGUAUUUUCUAGGACGCCGCUCUUUAUUUUAUCAGUUUUGUAUACUGUUUUACAUUAUCAUAGUCUGGCUACACGUUUGAGGGUCUCAGAUACAAUACAGGUGUUAUUAUGCCUAUGACACUGAAAACUGUU
Long non-coding RNA from Daucus carota subsp. sativus, 3075 nucleotides. RefSeq lists it as uncharacterized. NCBI's taxonomy places the organism in Eukaryota, Viridiplantae, Streptophyta, Magnoliopsida, Apiales, Apiaceae. The record is from RefSeq and is a predicted model, not a curated record. The transcript has 3 exons.